UACGAAGGGGGCUAGCGUUGUUCGGAAUUACUGGGCGUAAAGCGCACGUAGGCGGACAUUUAAGUCAGGGGUGAAAUCCCAGAGCUCAACUCUGGAACUGCCUUUGAUACUGGGUGUCUUGAGUAUGGAAGAGGUGAGUGGAAUUCCGAGUGUAGAGGUGAAAUUCGUAGAUAUUCGGAGGAACACCCGUGGCGAAGGCGGCUCUCUGGAACGCAACUGACGCUGAGACGCGAAAGCGUGGGGAGCAAACAGG
Molecule: ribosomal RNA, 253 nt
Filed under: uncultured bacterium
Lineage: Bacteria
Description: partial 16S ribosomal RNA
Rfam family: Bacterial small subunit ribosomal RNA
Source: RNAcentral